CUCAGAGCCCUUCCUCCUAUAGGCUCCUCAAAGCUUUGCAGUCUACCCUACACUCACCAGCAUCUCACCUCAACGCAGACAACUCUUGCUUCCUAAGAAGAGUCUCCGCUUCCAGUGACAGCGCUGCUGCCCCUCCAGAGUGCCACUACACACCCCUGCCUUCUGCUUCCAGGGAACUCACCAGUCACCGAGGUGUCCUGGGUAAGUGUCGCUAUGUUUACUAUGGGAAGAACUCGGAGGGCAACAGGUUUAUCCGGGAUGACCAGCUCUGAAGGCAAGUUCUGUAUGCUUUAGCCCAUGUCAUGAGGAUUUGCCAGUCAGCGAUGGAAAACAGCCUUUGCUUAGAUGUAUCCAGCUAAGCUAAAGAGAAUUGCAUUUCUCUGUCUCCCUUGCAGCUAUGGAUGGCUAAUGAUCAAGUUCUGUCCAAUGACUUAUAGUAGACUAGAGGCCUGGUGCAUGAAAUUCAUGCACAAGAGAGAGGGGUCCCUCAGCCCCGGCCUGCACCCUCUCAA
Myotis davidii is the source of this 512-nucleotide long non-coding RNA. RefSeq lists it as uncharacterized. NCBI's taxonomy places the organism in Eukaryota, Metazoa, Chordata, Mammalia, Chiroptera, Vespertilionidae. The transcript has 4 exons. The record is from RefSeq and is a predicted model, not a curated record.